CUACGGGGGGCAGCAGUGGGGAAUAUUGGACAAUGGGCGCAAGCCUGAUCCAGCAAUGCCGCGUGAGUGAAGACGGCCUUAGGGUUGUAAAACUCUUUCGCUAGGGAAGAUAAUGACUGUACCUAGUAAAGAAGUCCCGGCUAACUCCGUGCCAGCAGCCGCGGUAAUACGGAGGGGACUAGCGUUGUUCGGAAUUACUGGGCGUAAAGCGUUCGUAGGCGGACUGACAAGUUAGAGGUGAAAUCCCAGGGCUCAACCCUGGAACUGCCUUUAAAACUGUCAGUCUAGAGACCGGAAGAGGUUAGGGGAAUACCUAGUGUAGAGGUGAAAUUCGUAGAUAUUAGGUGGAACACCAGUGGCGAAGGCGCCUAACUGGUCCGGUACUGACGCUGAGGUGCGAAAGCGUGGGGAGCAAACAGGAUUAGAUACCCUAGUAGUC
This 439-nucleotide ribosomal RNA is filed under the name uncultured bacterium. Its description in RNAcentral is "partial 16S ribosomal RNA". It matches the Rfam family "Bacterial small subunit ribosomal RNA", at positions 339 to 795 of the family's 1533-position model. The record is from RNAcentral.